AUUAACGCUGGCGGCAUGCCUAAUACAUGCAAGUCGAAUGGUUAGCUUGCUAACCAUGGCGAACGGGUGAGUAACACGUAGGUAACCUGUCUUCAAGACGAGGAUAACCAUUGGAAACGAUGGAUAAUACUGGAUAGGACAAAUCCCCGCAUGAGGAGAUGUUUAAAGGAGCAAUCCACUUGAUGAGGGGCCUGCGGUGCAUUAGUUAGUUGGUGAGGUAACGGCCCACCAAGACGAUGAUGCAUAGCCGGACUGAGAGGUUGAACGGCCACAAUGGAACUGAGAACGGUCCAUACUCCUACGGGAGGCAGCAGUAGGGAAUUUUCGGCAAUGGGCGGAAGCCUGAACCCGAGCAAUGCCGCGUGAAUGAAGAAGUAUUUCGGUAUGUAAAGUUCUUUUAUUUGGGAAGAAAAAACAAAUUGACGGUACCAAAUGAAUAAGCUCCGGCUAACUACGUGCCAGCCGCUGC
This 469-nucleotide ribosomal RNA is filed under the name uncultured bacterium. RNAcentral's name for it is "bacterial SSU rRNA". It matches the Rfam family "Bacterial small subunit ribosomal RNA", at positions 29 to 518 of the family's 1533-position model. The record is from RNAcentral.